Molecule: unclassified non-coding RNA, 225 nt
Filed under: plant metagenome
Description: partial contains small subunit ribosomal RNA, internal transcribed spacer 1, and 5.8S ribosomal RNA
Source: RNAcentral
UCUUCGUUGGUGAACCAGCGGAGGGAUCAUUACAGGACUCGCAAGACUCCUACAACCCUGUGAACUUAACUAUAAGCACGUUGCUUCGGCGGGUGUCUCGGAGGGGGUUCUCCCUCCCCGAGACGCUAAACCCGCCGGCAGCCUACUAUACUCUGUCUCUUUGCGUUGGCAUCUCGAGUACAAUCAAACAAGUUGAAACUUUCAACAACGGAUCUCUUGGUUCUG